Long non-coding RNA from Homo sapiens (human), 3480 nucleotides. RefSeq lists it as uncharacterized. The transcript is spliced from 2 exons. The record is from RefSeq and is a predicted model, not a curated record. NCBI's taxonomy places the organism in Eukaryota, Metazoa, Chordata, Mammalia, Primates, Hominidae.
AAAGGGCCCACGACCCUUUGGGCCUGUGCUGUCAGACCCACCCGGGCCCUAGGACACCUCCAGCCCUCAGAGCUCCCAGCCCCUUCAUCCCAGAGCCCAGCUCCCAGCCCCAUUCCCUGGAUCCCCAGCUGGCCAUGGCAUUAACACCCCAAAGCCCUUCUGGCGCCUGCCUCACCCAACCCAGAUCCCUCUUCUGUGGGCCCUCCACACCUCCGUCUUACCACCCCUAAAUCCUGCCCCCUCAUCCUGGGCCUCCCCGCUGAACAAGGCCCCAACUUGCCCACGAGGAGAGGAGUCCAGAAGAGUGUCUCAGCCAUGGCUGCCCGGCCUGGCCCGCCCGGCCAAGCUGGGUGUCCCCUUAGCCCCUGCGUGCUUUCCUGGGCACAACACAAUCACACAGACUGCUCCAAGCUCCUCGAAGACUAGGAUCUUGUCACGUUUGUAUCCUUGGGCCUGGCACAGGGCCUGGUAACUAGUAGGUGUAGCUGGCUGGCGGCAGCUUCCUUAACAGCAAACGUAGGUGCCAUCCACCCAGCCUUUAUCCCCAGUCCAAGCACUUCAGCGUGGAGGUCUAGCAAGCCCUGGACAGGACCAGCCAGCUAGAGACAGGUGAGCGGAGGAGGCACCCUCUCUGGCCCAUGGAGUCAGGGUUCAUUCGGCGCAUAGACUUGGAGGCCUGGAGGUGGGCCACCUUGGCCACUUGCUGGGGAUGAGGCCUUGAGUGCACCAUUUGCCCUCUAGCCCAUUUCCACAACUAUAAACUGGCAAGAAUAGUGCUUGCCUCUUGGCAUCAUUGUGAGGACUCCACAAAGUAAUGAAUGCAGCGCAUAUUUAUGAAACACCUGCUAUGUAUCAGACAUUGAAAUUGCAAAGAUAAGCAAACCUCUGCCCACAUGGAGGUCACCUGCCAGUGGGUAAUACCAGCUAGCGCUGCCAGCUACUGUGCUGAGAAUCUUACAUAUAUCUACCUAUAUUACCUCAUUCCAUCUCCUCAGCAGUUCCAUGAGGCAGGUAUUAUUACUGUGCCCAUUUAACAGAUGAUAAAACUGAGGCACAGGGGUGUAUACCUUCCCCAAGGCCACAUUGCUGAUGAGUAGAAUGCAUGUGGACGGCUUAGCCCAGUGCCUGGCUCAGUCGAUGACUGUGCUGCUGAUGUACUUGCCCGGCCCUGCUUCCCCUUCCUUCUUGCCUCUGCCAAAGGAUCUCAGUCCAGGGGCGAUGGGGCGCGGUGUCCUCUCCCCAGGUCUCUCACUUAGGGCAGGCACAGGGGCACUCUCCCCAGGUGCCCUGAGAAGGGGGCGGGGACCUAUGGCUGCCAGGGUUCCCAAAUCCUUGGUGCCUGUGUGACCUCUCCUCCAGGGCCUCAAAAGGACAACAAAAUACCCCAGGCAAGGAUCACUUGGGUCCAGCCUAAGGGCACAGGUGUUGGCCUGCAGAUGGGGUGACUGGUAGGCAGGUUACGCAGUCCUUGUCCCUUCCUCUCUCUCUCUCCACCUGACUGACCCGCUCAUCCCUGGAGAGCCACCAAAUUCCAGAGUCAGCGUCCCCUCAGGCAAGGCAGUAUUUGUCCCAGCAUCACCUGGCCAUCUCUCUGUCUUCUCAGAGACAGAGGGAGGGAGGAAGAAAGGUUCUGGAGGCAGAGGAAGAGCCCAAGGGUUCUGGGGGAGCAGGCAGAAGUGCCAACCCCCUGGGCACCUGCCCAGCCUCACCCCUGAGCUUCUCCAUGUGACUCCCCGCCCCCUGCCGUCCCCCUGGCUAUUUUUGGAGCCACCCACUCAGCUGUCUUAAGGUAGCAGUGCCUGGCCCCAGUGUCACCAGGCCCACAGAGGCCAGCCUUCCUUAAUGAAAAGCUGCAGCUACUUCCCCAUCAGAUCCUCCCUGCCCAAUUCAAGGGAGCCAGGGACUGUCCCACAAGCCAGAAAGUCCCCAGAAACCCUUCUCAGGCCCCUCAGCCAUCAGAGGACCUUCCCACUCAGAGCUGUCUGGAUUGCAACCUGCUGCUUGUAACACACAGCACCUUCUGUCUAUUGGGCCUAGGGGUGGGAAGGGAGGUCACAGGGUCUUUAAACUUCUUAGUUUGAAAAAUUUGCAGCAUACUAUAAUAAGCCCCCGUGUAUCUGUCACCUGGCUUCAACAAUUAUCAACUCAUGGCCAGUCUAGUUUCAUCUGUACCCCUCCUGAUUAAUUUCAUCCAUCAAUAUUUCAGUGUGUAUCUUUAAAUGAUAAUGACUCUUUUUAACAUAAUCACAUAACACGUUCAGCUAUUAACAUCAUCAAUAAAAUUCCUUAAUAUCAAACUUCUAGUGUUCAAAUUACCAAUUUCUCAUAAACAUACAUAUUUUUACAGUGUAUUUGUUUGACUCAAGAUACAAAGAAGAUACACACAUUGCAACUGAUUGAUGAUUUAUAGGGCUUUUUUUUUUUUUUUUUUUGAGACAGAGUCUCGCUCUGUCACCCGGGUUGGAGUGCAGUGCCAUGAUCUCGGCUCACUGCCACCUCCACCUCCCAGAUUCAAGCAAUUCUCCUGCCUCAGCCUACAGGCACGUGCCACCAUGCCCAGGGGUUUCACCAUGUUGGCCAGGCUGGUCUCAAACUCCUGACCUCAAGUGAUCCACCCACCUUGGCCUCACAAAGUGCUGAGAUUACGGGCGUGAGCCACUGUGCCUGGCCAAGGCUCUUUUAAAUUUCUUCAAAUCUAUAGGUUCCCAUACAUCCUUUCUCUCUCUUUUUUCCUUCCUCCCUUCCUUCCUUCCUUCCUUCAUACUUUCCUUCCUUUCCUCCCUCCUUCCUUCCUUCCCUCCCUCCCUCCUUCUUCUUCCUUCUCUCCCUCCCUCCCUCCUUCUUCUUCCUUCUCUCCCUCCCUCCCUCCUUUCUUCCUUCCUUCCCUCCCUCCCUCCCUCCUUUCUUCCUUCCUUCCCUCCCUCCCUCUCCUUCCUUCCUUCCUUCCUUCCUUCCCUCCCUCCCUUCUCUUUCUCGUUCCUUGAAGGAGCCAGAAAAUUUCUUCUGUAGUUUUUUGCCCUCUGGAUUUUGCUGAUUGCAUCUCUAUGGUGAUCUUUAACAUGUUCCUCCCACCUCCAUACUUCCUGUACGUUGUAUUUCCUGUACAUUGUUACUGUAAUUUGUAGUUGGAUCUAGAGGCCUUAUAAGGUUUAUGUUCAAUUUCCUUCGUUGAGACCACUUCAUAGGUGGUGACAGUGUUCUUCCAUUUGAAGGCACAUCAUGCGUUUCUGUGGUCUUAGUAGUGUCUUGCCUCCGCCAUUAGCGUUUUAUUUUUUGUGUGUGUGCAGAAUAGUGAUAUUCAGAUUUGAUCACUCUGAUCACCCCUUCCUUUAUUAGCUGGAAUAAUUAUAGACAGAAACUGCCCCUUGCGAUUUGGUUACUGAGUGGGAAAGUUCGUAAAAGGAAGACGGGAGAAACGCUGGACUCUUCCUGUAUUAAACAGUUUCUGAAUAAAGAGCUGUUUCCCUAGCAUCCUCCAAA